AUCAAUUCAUUCAAAGCCACCACUCACACCUACAAACUUAAUAAUGUGGAGUGUUCUCACUCCACAUAUCUAAGACCGGUGUUGUUUCCAAUCCAUCCACAUAACGCAUCGAGAACAACAUCCGGUGCAGCACACCUAAAACGCACACCUCACGCACACUUUUUACCAGCCGCCAUCAUCCUCGAACCACUGACCCAUCUUCAGGA
Molecule: long non-coding RNA, 206 nt
Filed under: Hordeum vulgare
Lineage: Eukaryota; Viridiplantae; Streptophyta; Magnoliopsida; Poales; Poaceae
Description: long non-coding RNA (HVUL_LNC018761)
Source: RNAcentral